GACGAACGCUGGCGGCGUGCCUAAUACAUGCAAGUAGAACGCAGUUGCGAACGGGUAAGUAACGCGUAGGUAACUGCCUCAUAGCGGGGGAUAACUAUUGGAAACGAUAGCUAAUACCGCAUACUGUGAUAUGGACCUGCGUUGUAUUAGCUAGUUGGUGAGGUAAAGGCUCACCAAGGCGAAGAUACAUAGCCGACCUGAGAGGGUGAUCAGCCAGUCUGGGACUGAUACCCGGCCCAGACUACUCAGUGAGGCAGCAGUAGGGAAGUUUCGGAAAUGGACGGAAGUCUGACCGAGCAACGCCGCGUGAGUGAAGAAGGUUGUCGGCUCCUAAAACUCUGUGCUUAGAGAAACGGUACCUAACCAGAAAGGGACUGCUAACUCCGUGCCAGCAGCCGCGGUAAUUC
RNAcentral lists this ribosomal RNA (407 nucleotides) under uncultured bacterium. RNAcentral describes it as "partial 16S ribosomal RNA". It matches the Rfam family "Bacterial small subunit ribosomal RNA", at positions 28 to 526 of the family's 1533-position model. The record is from RNAcentral.